CGUCGUGAGGCGGAAUCUGAAGGAAGCCGGAUGUGGGGAGAAUACUAACCCGCGGGCAAAACCUCGGUCUGACGAACAGAAACUGCAUAUAAGGCGUACUCGGAACGGACGAGUUUCCCGAACAAAACGAAGUCCAAUACUGCCCGAAUUCCGGGGCGUAAAUGCAGCAGAUACGCGAGGUGAAGGUAAU
RNAcentral lists this non-coding RNA (190 nucleotides) under bovine gut metagenome. The record is from RNAcentral.